CCGAAGUCGGUGAGGUAACCUUUUGGAGCCAGCCGCCGAAGGUGGGACAGAUGAUUGGGGUGAAGUCGUAACAAGGUAGCCGUAUCGGAAGGUGCGGCUGGAUCACCUCCUUUCUAAGGAAU
RNAcentral lists this ribosomal RNA (122 nucleotides) under Heyndrickxia ginsengihumi. RNAcentral describes it as "Bacillus ginsengihumi partial 16S ribosomal RNA". It matches the Rfam family "Bacterial small subunit ribosomal RNA", at positions 1421 to 1533 of the family's 1533-position model. Lineage: Bacteria; Bacillati; Bacillota; Bacilli; Caryophanales; Bacillaceae. The record is from RNAcentral.